RNAcentral lists this unclassified non-coding RNA (778 nucleotides) under Schizosaccharomyces pombe (fission yeast). RNAcentral describes it as "non-coding RNA (predicted)". The record is from RNAcentral. Lineage: Eukaryota; Fungi; Ascomycota; Schizosaccharomycetes; Schizosaccharomycetales; Schizosaccharomycetaceae.
GCCGGUGGAGCGACGUGAAUCCCUUCCACAUCCCGUCGCCCCAGUUGUUUCCCUAAUUCCAUACCGUGCGCAACAACACACAUUGACGCGUCCCAAACUCUCCUAUCUCUACUACUACCCGUAUAAGCAUGAGAAAGACGCGAAAAAUCCACCUAAACAUCCAACUUGCGGUGUUUGUUUACAUUUGGCACCUCUGCGUGAAUAACGCAUUACAUUAACUCUCGCUGCUUCCGUCGGCUGAGGAAUUUCCAAAAGCUUCGAACUCGUUCUGCAAUGUGACUUGCUAUCAAUAUCUCGUUACCAGGAACCGACGUAACCUGACAUAGUUUUAAGCAACAUCUUGCCAUUCUGGACGAUUAUGUAGCAACCGAGAUAGGGAGUUGCCCGCCAAUCAUCGGCUUUUGCGAAACUUAGCAGCGCUUUCUUUAAGAGGUCAGUAAGGAACUACUGCAGAGUAGAGCGUAAUUACCUUGCAAAACGGCGUACUGCAAAGUAGUAUGUUAUGCUAGAUGAGAAAGAGACAGGGCUGGGAAUAUAUGUCUGGCUAGUGGGUAGAAGCGCUAGGGGAGAGGACAGGGGGCAGAGGCAGAGGACAGAGGCACAAAAGGUAGAAAGGAUGGGUAGAAAAAGGAAAGUGUCAGGAGCAUAGUAUGUUAGAUCUGAUAUUUAAGGCAAUCCACGAUAACUCAAAACAAUCCUAUUCAGCCUUCUCGGUGGCUUUUGAUUGAUUGAUCGACAGAGUAGCAUGAUCGACAGUAGCGUAAUUUUUCGUAAACAU